CAUGUUUCCUCUCUGCAGGUGAAUGCACCAAGGAAAGACUUACAGGUUCUUCUUUGUAUGUUUGUUUGUUUUGUUAGUUUAUUUUUAAGAAAAGAGAAAAAAAGUUUACCCAAGGCUGUGAAGAGGGUUCUGAAUGCUUAUCCCCCAGAUCUAAAAUUUCACUUAUCCUGAAGACCUCACUCCAUGAGAGAGAGUAGAUAUACUGACUCAGAGAACUUUUCCACCUCAGCAUUUGAGUCUUGGAGCAAAAUACCAACACAAGGCUGAAAAAAAAGCAUUGGCAGCCCCAGCCACAUGAAGAUCAGUUCUGUGCCUAUAUCACAUGGAGUGUUGAAGGCAAGAUGGUAUCUGCAGGCCUGAUGAUGGUGGGCUGGGUGCUGCCACAUACACAUCUCCACAAGUUGCCUCAGCAUUGCAGCAGGCUGCUGCCAGCCUGGCCCCUCAGUUAACAUUAUAAGACUUUCUGGAGAUAGCUCCUGAGAAAAUAAGCUGUACCUAACUUGAUCAUGUGGCAAUUUGUGCUGGUGGGCUUCUUGCUUUUCAUUUCAGACUAGAAGGCCUAGCUGUCCAGCUGGGCUGUAACACUGAUUGUUCUCCAGGGCUUCCAGAUCUUUCUGAAGUUACGAUGAAAAUAUAAAUUAGUUGCAAUUGUAGCUGGCUCCUCCCUACAAGGUGUAUUGUGAGGUGUCUGCGUUGGAUGCAUGGAAAUCUAGAGCAGAAAUGGACAAAGCCCCUGAGAACCAUCUCCCAGACAUUGAAGACAGAAGAAAAAUUCCUCAAACAAGAACGCUACCAUGGUACUUGAUUCUUAGCAGAAGUAUUAACGUUGCCUUUCUUGUUUGGUUUUCUCCUACCACUCAUAAAUGA
Lagopus muta (rock ptarmigan) is the source of this 867-nucleotide long non-coding RNA. RefSeq lists it as uncharacterized. The record is from RefSeq and is a predicted model, not a curated record. NCBI's taxonomy places the organism in Eukaryota, Metazoa, Chordata, Aves, Galliformes, Phasianidae. The transcript has 3 exons.